GAAAUGCGAUACGUAGUGUGAAUUGCAGAAUUCAGUGAAUCAUCGAAUCUUUGAACGCACAUUGCGCCCUUUGGUAUUCCAAAGGGCAUGCCUGUUCGAGCGUCAUUUGUACCCUCAAGCUUUGCUUGGUGUUGGGCGUCUUUUUGUCUCUCCCCUUGUUGGGGGAGACUCGCCUUAAAACGAUUGGCAGCCGACCUACUGGUUUUCGGAGCGCAGCACAAAUUUGCGCCUUCCAAUCCACGGGGCGACAUCCAGCAAGCCUUUGUUUUCUAUAACAAAUCCACAUUUUGACCUCGGAUCAGGUAGGGAUACCCGCUGAACUUAAGC
This 327-nucleotide unclassified non-coding RNA is filed under the name plant metagenome. RNAcentral describes it as "partial contains 5.8S ribosomal RNA, internal transcribed spacer 2, and large subunit ribosomal RNA". The stretch from base 1 to 105 matches the Rfam family "5.8S ribosomal RNA", at positions 50 to 154 of the family's 154-position model. The record is from RNAcentral.